CAGUCGAGCGGUAACAGAGAGUAGCUUGCUACUUUGCUGACGAGCGGCGGACGGGUGAGUAAUGCUUGGGGAUCUGCCCGGUCGAGGGGGAUAACCGUUGGAAACGACGGCUAAUACCGCAUACGCCCUACGGGGGAAAGCAGGGGACCUUCGGGCCUUGCGCGAUUGGAUGAACCCAAGUGAGAUUAGCUUGUUGGUGAGGUAACGGCUCACCAAGGCGACGAUCUCUAGCUGGUCUGAGAGGAUGACCAGUCACACUGGGACUGAGACACGGCCCAGACUCCUACGGGAGGCAGCAGUGGGGAAUAUUGCACAAUGGGGGAAACCCUGAUGCAGCCAUGCCGCGUGUGUGAAGAAGGCCUUCGGGUUGUAAAGCACUUUCAGUGGUGAGGAAAGGAGGUUGGCUAAUACCUGACCUCUGUGACGUUAACCACAGAAGAAGCACCGGCUAACUCCGUGCCAGCAGC
Molecule: ribosomal RNA, 467 nt
Filed under: bacterium 2311-S4-10-2.1.1
Lineage: Bacteria
Description: bacterial SSU rRNA
Rfam family: Bacterial small subunit ribosomal RNA
Source: RNAcentral